Molecule: transfer RNA, 94 nt
Filed under: Nostoc sp.
Lineage: Bacteria; Bacillati; Cyanobacteriota; Cyanophyceae; Nostocales; Nostocaceae
Also listed under: 4 other names
Description: tRNA-Arg
Rfam family: tRNA
About the family: Transfer RNA (tRNA) molecules are approximately 80 nucleotides in length.
Source: RNAcentral
GAGAGUGUGGUGUAACUGGAUAACAUCUCAGUCUACGAAACUGUAGCUUGCUUCCCGAAGGGUAGAUUUGAGGGUUCGAUUCCCUCCGCUCUCG